UACGGAGGGGGCCAGCGUUGUUCGGAAUUAUUGGGCGUAAAGGGCGCGUAGGUGGCCAUGCAAGUCGGAGGUGAAAUCCCUCGGCUCAACUGAGGAACUGCCUCCGAUACUGCAUGGCUUGAGUCCCGGAGAGGGUGGUGGAAUUCCCAGUGUAGCGGUGAAAUGCGUAGAUAUUGGGAGGAACACCUGCGGCGAAGGCGGCUACCUGGACAGAAACUGACGCUGAGGCGCGAAAGCUAGGGGAGCGAACAGG
This 253-nucleotide ribosomal RNA is filed under the name uncultured bacterium. RNAcentral's name for it is "partial 16S ribosomal RNA". It matches the Rfam family "Bacterial small subunit ribosomal RNA", at positions 524 to 776 of the family's 1533-position model. The record is from RNAcentral.